Ursus thibetanus thibetanus is the source of this 4380-nucleotide long non-coding RNA. Lineage: Eukaryota; Metazoa; Chordata; Mammalia; Carnivora; Ursidae. The record is from Ensembl.
GGAUUUAGGACCAGCGAGCUGAUGGGUCCUGGGAAGAGGAGGACGGAAAACGCCCCGUGGCACCACUGACCAGCCCCCACGGCGGGGAGAGUUCCGUAGGCCGCGUCCGCGGGAUUCAGGCCGUUUGGCAUUCACAGAGCAGCUGGGCCCGAUAAUGAGGGAUCUCUGCAGAGCCUUUGCAGGGUGCAAAGCCCUUGCAUUCUGUUUAUCUUUCCAUAGCCCCGAGAAGUGGGCCGGGCAGGGACAGUUACCUUUAUUUUACAGAUGAGAAAACGGAGGCCCAGUGAGGGGGAAUAGCAUGCGUUUGGUCUCUCUGGGAGUAAAUGUCCAGACCGGUUCUCUAGCCGCUGAAAGCAAGGCCUGGUGAUGAGGUGGGGGCCUGCAAGGGGGCAGGCGUGGGGCCCGGUGUGUGCGCCUCUGCACGGGCUCUCUGUAGGGGCAUCAGAAGCUACGUUAAGCUGAGGCUUUAGGCUGGGUGGUCACUCCCCAGGUCCAGGCAGGUAACUGUGAGGAGAGCAGGGAAGGGGGCCAGGGGCAAAGCGGAGAGCUGCCCCCCCUCCCAGAGCACCGCGGGCCGCCUCUGGGUUUAAAGAACACAGCUCCUUCCCACCUGGGGCAGAGGCCCCAAGGUCCCCGGUGAUAGACUCAGGGAGGGCAGAGUGGGGCCCGGUCCCAGCAGGGUAGGAUCGGCUGUGGGUGAUGCAGGUCCAGCUGGGAUGGGAUCUCUCCUCUGCCAGAGAGUCACCCGGGAGCUGGACCCGCGCUACAUAACAGCACGUGGGCAGCCUGUUCCGCGGCGGCUUCCGCCAGACGCUCUCCUACCAGCUGAUGCGCUCCGCAGGCCUCUACGCCGCCACCUGCCUCGACAUCCUGCGCUACCCGCUCAGCUCGCUGCAUCGGGUGGCCGGAGCUGGCUCAGGGCAGAGAGAGGGCUGAGGACCAGGAAGGCUGCACUGAGGAGGACUGAGUCCUGGACGUGGGCUGGCAUCAUGGUCAUCCUCUACCUGAGAUGCUUUUAGAUAAAUGGCAAAGGCUCCUGUUUCGUCUGUUGGUAGCAUCAUCUGGCAUCAUCUAGAGGCUUAGAAGGAAUAUACCUACGUAACUGAAAUGACACAACAAACUCUCAAAGGAACAGGUCUGUGAAACAGUUCGCUAGUUUCUCUUUCUGGGGAUAAUCAAGGGAAACAUUUGGAAUAUCUGAGGAUAAAUAAGGGCCAACAGGCCACGUACUGAGAGAGUUUCAGAAGCUAGGUCUGGCCCUGCCAAGGCCUUUCGUUCUUCUUCCUGGCUUGACUUGUGGGCCUGUUCGGUAAAGCGGCUUCUCCAAGCAGAGACCAGGUAUCCCUGGCCUUGCGUCUUCAAACACUGCAUUCUUGUUCAAGGGCUACGGGGUAGAAUUUUAUCAGGAAAAUUGCUCAGACUCUAGGGCCCAUACUUUUCUGGAAAGAUGCUGAAAUAUGGUGCAGUAGCUAAUACUACAGAACUCAACCAUUAGAAUUCCCUGCUAGGGAGUGAGAAUGCAGAGAGGCUGGGGAUGAACAGCCACCAGAAGAAUGCUUGGGGUCUGAGGAAGAGUGAGGGAGGAGGAGGGGGAAGCGGUGGCCAAAGGGCCUUUCGCAUGCUUUUCCUUCUGCCGGAAGCAUCCCCUACCUCUUCUCCUGUUAAACCUGCUCUUGCCUCAGACUCGAGGGGCCUCUCCACCUCCCUGUGACUGGAUCAGGUCCUUCUGUUGGUCCCAUCCUAGAGACCUUGGUUUCUGGGGAUUAUUCCAUUUUCACACAUUUGUGUCCCGCUGGACUCUUGGCUUCAUGGGGCCAGGUCACGUGGCUCAUUGUUGCAUCUCUGGCAUCUUCGGUGUCUUGUGUGUUCCACCGAGUAAACUACAUCACCUGGUUUAUUAUUACAUUGCAGGGGAAAGGGUGGGGCAAAAGAUAGAUUGUAAGACAAGAGGAAGUGGGGAAAGACUAGAAAGCUUUGGAUGAGAACUCUGCUAAGCUCGUAGGAAGUCAGCUGGGGCAUGGUAGGGUGGAAGAUACUUCUAUUUGGGGCUGUUCAUUUAAUGCAGGUGUUUUUUUUUUUUUUAAACCUAUUGUUACCUCUGUACUCAUUUACCUACACUUUAGUUGGAAAUGUGCCCCAUUAUUCCAAAGACUAUAGUAGACACUGAUAGUCCAUUUCGGGAAGAAUUUUUAGUUGGGCAUGUGGGCACCCAAAAUACGUUUCCCAGCCUUCUUUGAAGAUAAGUGUAUGUGCUCAAUGGCCCCACAAUCCUAAAUAGAAAUAAUGUGUCCAUCUUCCAAGUUGUAACCUUAAAAAGGAGAGGGGCAUGUGUUCUAUCUCCUCUCUUCCCGGGUCCCUCUGGCUGGAAUGUGACAUUGGUUGGGGAGCCAUCUCUGGUUAUAUGGAUGAGGCUGUAUCCCGGGGAUGGCAGAGCCGUAAGACAGAUGUGGCCUGGCCUUGGCACCAAACACUGGACAGUUUCACUUGAACUACUGAUGUAAGAGAGACACGUUUCCCUUUGGGACUAGUAACAGCAGCUCAAUCGAUACCCUAAUUCUGACAUCCAGCCCUGAGCAGUCAGAAAGGAAGGGAAUGGAAGCAUCGCCCCUGAGUUAGCGGCCUGGUGGUAAAAAAUGUAAUCAAGUACCUCAUUUGUAGAAUAAACAACCGUACUCUGGCUCUCAUAGCAAUUCCUGUUUGGUAAAUGGGAACAGUUCAAGAAGUUCUUCUUCCAUAUCGCCUUCUUACUCCUCAUGUCCUUACUUGGCGUAGAGGCGGGGAUUGAAAGGUCUGGACUUGGCGCCAGACAGCCCUGAGUCUGAAAUUUCAGCCCUAUCAUUGACCGUCUAAGUAGCGUCUCCAUACCUAUGUCAUAAGGCUAUUGCGAAGAUGUAGUGAGAUAAGAUGCAUGGAACACAGCCAGAGGAAGCGCUGAAUGACAGUGUCCUACACAAGUGUUUGUGUGUGUGGGACUUCUCCCCUAGCAACCGACAGAAACCUAACUGAAACUGGCCUUCAGAGCUCGUGAUCUCUCAGCAGCUCCCUGGGCAUUAUUUGGCUUCACAGAUAAAGGGAGGCUGUCCAAAGGGAAGGAAAGGGCUGGCUGUGUGGAGUCCUGCAGUUUGGUUGUGGUGACCAUCUAUUCUUAUUGAAAAUUAGUAUAUCAACUUUAUGGUUUUAUAGCUCAGUUUUAUGAACCUUGUCUUUAUAAACCUGACCUAGAGAGAUGAUGCUUCCCUCAUUGUGAUAAAAUCUAGCUCCUGGGUGAGGGUGAUGGGCAGACCCUUGAUCAAGGUGAGUUCUCCAUGGUAAUGAAUGUUCCCUAUGAGGCCUCUUGAGAUUGCCUAGAAGAGUUUCCCUGGACAAAACCCUGAUUCUCUAGGCCAAGCCAUCAUCACUGUUUUUUUUUUUUAAUAAUAAAUAAAAUAAAUGGAUAAGCAGGAAUGAACAAAGUUUAAUUUUUUUGUUUUAGAUAAUACUUAAAUAUUAAGAAAGCUAAAAUUUUAAAAUUCACAAUAUGUUGGCUAGGUUUUUCUAUACAUUAUAUUUACAUAAUGAUUCUAAUUUUAACUUUCCAAGAACAGUUGCCCAGGAAGAAGGAAAGGCAACCUAUAAUAGUCUCUGGGGCUUGUACUGUCUUCUCAGGUCAGGUGUCCUGUAGCAAAGAACUGAAGUGAAGAAGCAAGUGACCCUGCCCUCCCCUCUCCCCUGCUCCCUUUUGUUUUUCUUUGAAGCACUUCUGAAUAACAAAUGCAAAAUUAGAUUUGGAUAUAAAAGCUAGACGACUACCGCAGUUCAGAACUGUGUUCCACUGGAGAAGCCCCAGCACAGCCAGGGUGGGAAUUACCCCUCAUCUGUAGGGUGCUGUGACAGAAGUCAGAGUCGCAUACAAAAGUCACCUGGGAUCUCUGAGCAAAAGCACAGCUAGCGUCAGCUCCGUAAAAUGAGGGGAUUUGAUCAGACAGUCUGUCGCAUGGCAUCUGGUCCAGAAGGCUAGCUUCAAAGCUCCCCUCGGGGCAGAUAGGCCUCGCCCUCUCCGCUAAGGCAGAUGCAGGAAGGAAAGUCCAUCAUCCUGCGGCACCAGCCUCUUGAUGUGAAAAAAAGAACUACACUGAGAGUAAAUUAGGUCAAUAAGGUGAACAUUUUUUACCAUACUUGUGGGGUAAAUGAAUAUUCAAUAGCUUAAAAUUUAUGUACUAUAAACUGUGGCAAACUAUAGUCUUAAAUAAACCAAAGACAGUCCCGUGGGGAUAUUAAAUUCGAGAGUAAGCCCAGUGACUAAAUCCUAAGGGCCCACAGUCUGCCUGUCCGUUAUAUAGUUUUGCCCAGGUCACCUGGCCAAGGGUAUUUCACGGAGUCUCUGAAACACCUUUAAAAAAA